GUGAAUCAUCAAAUUUUUGAACGCAAAUUGCAUUCUCUGGCAUUCCGGAGAGUAUGCCUGUUUGAGGGUCAGUUUAAAUAAAAAUCGAGGUGUUGCUGUUUUGUGACCCAUCGUAUUUGGGUUAUUUUUGACUUUUUAAAAGGUUUAGUUGACUUAAAAUUGAAACUUUGUGAUUUAAGGAGGAUAUAAAGAAU
RNAcentral lists this unclassified non-coding RNA (194 nucleotides) under Glomeromycetes sp. RNAcentral describes it as "partial contains 5.8S ribosomal RNA and internal transcribed spacer 2". The stretch from base 1 to 71 matches the Rfam family "5.8S ribosomal RNA", at positions 84 to 154 of the family's 154-position model. Lineage: Eukaryota; Fungi; Glomeromycota; Glomeromycetes. The record is from RNAcentral.